Gallus gallus (chicken) is the source of this 232-nucleotide long non-coding RNA. RefSeq lists it as uncharacterized. The record is from RefSeq and is a predicted model, not a curated record. Lineage: Eukaryota; Metazoa; Chordata; Aves; Galliformes; Phasianidae. The transcript is spliced from 3 exons.
CGCGUUCUCAGAAGAACCAAGUUGGCAAGGCCUGGCUCCGGGUUGGUGAGCUGUGCCCAAGCACCUUCGCGGCAACCUUGAUUUCUCCAUCCUUCUCUGAGCUUUGUGCCACGAGAGCUCUGCAGCUUCUACCUGUGACGUGAGAGCAUAUGGAAGGCCCUGCAAGAAGUCUGGUGAUAACCAUGGAAGCAUAGAAGCGUUACCCAGACAAAAUGAGCAUUUGUCACCUGGG